GCCGGAGUGGCGGAAUCGGCAGACGCAAGGGACUUAAAAUCCCUCGGGAGCGAUCCCAUGCGGGUUCGAACCCCGCCUCCGGCA
This 84-nucleotide transfer RNA is filed under the name Deltaproteobacteria bacterium. Its description in RNAcentral is "tRNA-Leu". It matches the Rfam family "tRNA". From Rfam's summary of the family: Transfer RNA (tRNA) molecules are approximately 80 nucleotides in length. Their secondary structure includes four short double-helical elements and three loops (D, anti-codon, and T loops). The record is from RNAcentral. Lineage: Bacteria; Pseudomonadati; Myxococcota; Myxococcia.